AGGGAAAUAGCUCAGUGGUAGAGCGCAUGCUUAGCAUGCAUGAGGUCCUGGGUUCAAUCCCCAGUAUCUUCA
RNAcentral lists this transfer RNA (72 nucleotides) under Camelus bactrianus (Bactrian camel). It matches the Rfam family "tRNA". From Rfam's summary of the family: Transfer RNA (tRNA) molecules are approximately 80 nucleotides in length. Their secondary structure includes four short double-helical elements and three loops (D, anti-codon, and T loops). Further hydrogen bonds mediate the characteristic L-shaped molecular structure. tRNAs have two regions of fundamental functional importance: the anti-codon, which is responsible for specific mRNA codon recognition, and the 3' end, to which the tRNAs corresponding amino acid is attached (by aminoacyl-tRNA synthetases). tRNAs cope with the degeneracy of the genetic code in two manners: having more than one tRNA (with a specific anti-codon) for a particular amino acid; and 'wobble' base-pairing, i.e. permitting non-standard base-pairing at the 3rd anti-codon position. The record is from Rfam by way of RNAcentral. RNAcentral also lists the same sequence under 2 other names. Lineage: Eukaryota; Metazoa; Chordata; Mammalia; Artiodactyla; Camelidae.